Molecule: ribosomal RNA, 477 nt
Filed under: uncultured bacterium
Lineage: Bacteria
Description: partial 16S ribosomal RNA
Rfam family: Bacterial small subunit ribosomal RNA
Source: RNAcentral
AUUGAACGCUGGCGGCAUGCCUUACACAUGCAAGUCGAACGGUAACAGGUUAAGCUGACGAGUGGCGAACGGGUGAGUAAUGUAUCGGAACGUGCCCAGUCGUGGGGGAUAACUGCUCGAAAGAGCAGCUAAUACCGCAUACGACCUGAGGGUUAAAGCGGGGGAUCGCAAGACCUCUCGCGAUUGAAGCGGCCGAUAUCAGAUUAGGUAGUUGGUGAGGUAAAGGCUCACCAAGCCGACGAUCUGUAUCUGGUCUGAGAGGACGAACAGCCACACUGGGACUGAGACACGGCCCAGACUCCUACGGGAGGCAGCAGUGGGGAAUUUUGGACAAUGGGCGCAAGCCUGAUCCAGCCAUGCCGCGUGAGGGAAGAAGGCCUUCGGGUUGUAAACCGCUUUUGUCAGGGAAGAAAAGGUUCUGGCUAAUAACUGGGACUCAUGACGGUACCUGAAGAAUAAGCACCGGCUAACUACGUG